RNAcentral lists this ribosomal RNA (519 nucleotides) under uncultured Methylobacter sp. RNAcentral describes it as "bacterial SSU rRNA". It matches the Rfam family "Bacterial small subunit ribosomal RNA", at positions 1 to 523 of the family's 1533-position model. Lineage: Bacteria; Pseudomonadati; Pseudomonadota; Gammaproteobacteria; Methylococcales; Methylococcaceae. The record is from RNAcentral.
UAGAGUUUGAUCCUGGCUCAGAUUGAACGCUGGCGGUAUGCUUAACACAUGCAAGUCGAACGGUAGCAGGUCUUCGGAUGCUGACGAGUGGCGGACGGGUGAGUAACGCGUAGGAAUCUGCCUAUUAGUGGGGGACAACGUGUGGAAACGCACGCUAAUACCGCAUACGCCCUACGGGGGAAAGGAGGGGAUCGCAAGACCUUUCGCCAAUAGAUGAGCCUGCGUAGGAUUAGCUAGUUGGUGGGGUAAAGGCUCACCAAGGCGACGAUCCUUAGCUGGUCUGAGAGGACGAUCAGCCACACUGGGACUGAGACACGGCCCAGACUCCUACGGGAGGCAGCAGUGGGGAAUUUUGGACAAUGGGGGCAACCCUGAUCCAGCAAUGCCGCGUGUGUGAAGAAGGCCUUCGGGUUGUAAAGCACUUUUGUCCGGGAAGAAAUCCCCUGCCCUAAUACGGCGGGGGGAUGACGGUACCGGAAGAAUAAGCACCGGCUAACUACGUGCCAGCAGCCGCGGUAA